Molecule: RNA transcript, 941 nt
Organism: Diorhabda carinulata
Lineage: Eukaryota; Metazoa; Arthropoda; Insecta; Coleoptera; Chrysomelidae
Exons: 2
Source: RefSeq, a predicted model, not a curated record
AAUAAAAAAAUAGUUUAUUCAAAAGAGGUUAAGUUUAUUGUAAAAAAACAUAAAUAAGGUUUACAUAUGUUGAAUUUAGGUUAGAUUAGAAUCAUAGAAAAUUAUAAAUUGUGUCGAAAGGAAAUUUUAGAAUAUGGACUAAUAAUGUGAUUGUAUAUGUGAACUAUUGCCAUAAACAGUGAUUCAAAAACACUUAUAUUUCAUUACAAUACUUCAAAUUUAUGAUUUUGUAAAUAUCGAUGGUUUACAUGACAUAUGAGAAAGUUACGAGAGCCAAAAGAGGAAAUUUUUUGGCUCUUUUGUCUGCUGUAUCUUGGAAAGUUUGUGUGGAUCAGUUUUUUUGGUGGUGUUGUUUGUUGUUUGGUGAAAGGAGAGACGAAAUAUUUACAAAUCCUAUAUGUGGAAUUGAAUAUAAACUAAAGAUGACCAAGUUGUUGAAGAUGAUUCACGUUCGGGACGCUUUCCAAUAACAGAUGAAAAUAUCGAAGAAGUCAGUAAUCUUGUUCGAUCUAACCGUAGGCUAAGUUUUCAUGCGAUUGAUGAAUCUAUAAGAAUGUCUGCGGCAAAUUUUUGUCAUAGAAAACGUGUAAAACUGGUGCCUCUAUCCACCAAGAGCUUUUUAGCAAAGUACAACAUCCGAGUGUUAGACCAUCCACCUAAUUCGUUGGUUCUCGCUCCGUGCGACUUUUAUAACGCCAAAUCUGCAUUAAAAGGAACAAUAUGUAAGUCUUUGGAAACUAGGGAAGAAAAAGCGGCGCGCGUUCUGAAGAUACUGACAGAAAAAGACUUCCAGCACUGUUGCGAAUAAUGGAAAAUUCGCAUGGAACCUUGUAGGGAUAAAGGAGGUGAUAAUAAAUUAAUAUCCAUAUCAAAAUGUAUAAAACCAGUUUGGUUAUUUAGCCGUAGCCAAACCUCGUAAAACCCAAUAAAAACGUAUAUAG